This 111-nucleotide ribosomal RNA is filed under the name Periophthalmus magnuspinnatus. The record is from RNAcentral. Lineage: Eukaryota; Metazoa; Chordata; Actinopteri; Gobiiformes; Gobiidae.
UAUAGCCACAUAGCACCUUGAGAAUGCCUGAUUUUUAAUCUGAGAAGCUAAGCAGGGUUGGACCUGGUUAGUACUUGGAUGGGAGACCGCUGAGAAUAACAAGUGCUGUAU